Molecule: long non-coding RNA, 225 nt
Filed under: Elaeis guineensis (African oil palm)
Lineage: Eukaryota; Viridiplantae; Streptophyta; Magnoliopsida; Arecales; Arecaceae
Description: long non-coding RNA (EGUI_LNC037935)
Source: RNAcentral
GUGGAUGCCAUGAAAUAUGAACAAGCUAUGAAUUUUGUGCCCCCACCAAGUGUGGUUGAAGAUAUUAUGUCUAGUAAGAAGGUGGACCAAGGGCUGAGGUUGGUGCUAGAAAGAGGAGGAGGGGUGUAAAAAAAUCAUGUUCAAUAGUAAGGAUGGUGAAGAGUAGGAACCAUAAAGAGAAAUCUGUGAAAGUAAAAAGCCCUUAUGCGAUCAUACCUAUCCGCC